This 468-nucleotide ribosomal RNA is filed under the name uncultured bacterium. RNAcentral describes it as "partial 16S ribosomal RNA". It matches the Rfam family "Bacterial small subunit ribosomal RNA", at positions 28 to 507 of the family's 1533-position model. The record is from RNAcentral.
GACGAACGCUGGCGGCGUGCUUAACACAUGCAAGUCGAACGGAAAGGCCCUGCUUUUGUGGGGUGCUCGAGUGGCGAACGGGUGUGUAACACGUGAGUAACCUGCCCUUGACUUUGGGAUAACUUCAGGAAACUGGGGCUAAUACCGGAUAGGAGCUCCUGCUGCAUGGUGGGGGUUGGAAAGUUUCGGCGGUUGGGGAUGGACUCGCGGCUUAUCAGCUUGUUGGUGGGGUAGUGGCUUACCAAGGCUUUGACGGGUAGCCGGCCUGAGAGGGUGACCGGCCACAUUGGGACUGAGAUACGGCCCAGACUCCUACGGGAGGCAGCAGUGGGGAAUAUUGCACAAUGGGCGGAAGCCUGAUGCAGCAACGCCGCGUGCGGGAUGACGGCCUUCGGGUUGUAAACCGCUUUCGCCUGCGACGAAGCGUGAGUGACGGUAAUGGGUAAAGAAGCACCGGCUAACUACGUG